GACGAACGCUGGCGGCGUGCUUAACACAUGCAAGUCGAACGGAAAGGCCCUGCUUUUGUGGGGUGCUCGAGUGGCGAACGGGUGAGUAACACGUGAGUAACCUGCCCUUGACUUUGGGAUAACUUCAGGAAACUGGGGCUAAUACCGGAUAGGAGCUCCUGCUGCAUGGUGGGGGUGGGAAAGUUUCGGCGGUUGGGGAUGGACUCGCGGCUUAUCAGCUUGUUGGUGGGGUAGUGGCUUACCAAGGCUUUGACGGGUAGCCGGCCUGAGAGGGUGACCGGCCACAUUGGGACUGAGAUACGGCCCAGACUCCUACGGGAGGCAGCAGUGGGGAAUAUUGCACAAUGGGCGGAAGCCUGAUGCAGCAACGCCGCGUGCGGGAUGACGGCCUUCGGGUUGUAAACCGCUUUCGCCUGUGACGAAGCGUGAGUGACGGUAAUGGGUAAAGAAGCACCGGCUAACUACGU
This 467-nucleotide ribosomal RNA is filed under the name uncultured bacterium. RNAcentral's name for it is "partial 16S ribosomal RNA". It matches the Rfam family "Bacterial small subunit ribosomal RNA", at positions 28 to 506 of the family's 1533-position model. The record is from RNAcentral.